AUUUCGAACCGCAUGGUUCGAUAGUGAAAGAUGGUUUUGCUAUCACUUAUAGAUGGAUCCGCGCUGCAUUAGCUAGUUGGUAAGGUAACGGCUUACCAAGGCAACGAUGCAUAGCCGACCUGAGAGGGUGAUCGGCCACACUGGAACUGAGACACGGUCCAGACUCCUACGGGAGGCAGCAGUAGGGAAUCUUCCGCAAUGGGCGAAAGCCUGACGGAGCAACGCCGCGUGAGUGAUGAAGGUCUUCGGAUCGUAAAACUCUGUUAUUAGGGAAGAACAUACGUGUAAGUAACUAUGCACGUCUUGACGGUACCUAAUCAGAAAGCCACGGCUAACUACGUGCCAGCAGCCGCGGUAAUACGUAGGUGGCAAGCGUUAUCCGGAAUUAUUGGGCGUAAAGCGCGCGUAGGCGGUUUUUUAAGUCUGAUGUGAAAGCCCACGGCUCAACCGUGGAGGGUCAUUGGAAACUGGAAAACUUGAGUGCAGAAGAGGAAAGUGGAAUUCCAUGUGUAGCGGUGAAAUGCGCAGAGAUAUGGAGGAACACCAGUGGCGAAGGCGACUUUCUGGUCUGUAACUGANGCUGAUGUGCGAAAGCGUGGGGAUCAAACAGGAUUAGAUACCCUGGUAGUCCACGCCGUAAACGAUGAGUGCUAAGUGUUAGGGGGUUUCCGCCCCUUAGUGCUGCAGCUAACGCAUUAAGCACUCCGCCUGGGGAGUACGACCGCAAGGUUGAAACUC
Molecule: ribosomal RNA, 738 nt
Filed under: Staphylococcus aureus
Lineage: Bacteria; Bacillati; Bacillota; Bacilli; Caryophanales; Staphylococcaceae
Description: bacterial SSU rRNA
Rfam family: Bacterial small subunit ribosomal RNA
Source: RNAcentral